This is a long non-coding RNA of Mus musculus (house mouse), 1592 nucleotides long. RefSeq annotates it as predicted gene, 33294. The record is from RefSeq and is a predicted model, not a curated record. Lineage: Eukaryota; Metazoa; Chordata; Mammalia; Rodentia; Muridae. The transcript is spliced from 3 exons.
CUGCCGAGGAGGAGGAGGAGAAGAGGUGGAGUCUGUGGGAAAUGCAUGUCCCCCCCCCCCCGACUCCCAGAGCAGCAGUUAGAAACCACAGUACCUAAUAGGCCACAGAAUACAUUAAGAUUGGGCUGAGCCCUUGGGUUGGUGAGAAGCAGGUGUUGUACUAAGUCUAUAAUUUAAUAAGAUUACCGCUUUUUCUAAGUAGGUAGUAAUUAUAACUGAUUAUGAUUUGUUGUUGCUUGUUUCCUUUAUUUAUUUGAAUCUGAAUGUCCCUGAAUACACACAGUUGUUAUUAGGAGAUUUUCUGCACUCAGGAAAUAAUCCAUACGCAAUACAGAUGGCGUUUGCAAGAGUCGGUCGGGGCGAGCUUAGAAUGUGGGAGAUUUGAGAUAAGACACAGGAGAGAUUAUGUUAGGAUAAAGGUGGGCGGUAGCUGGAUCAUGAAAAAAAGGCACGUCACAUGGCGUACCCUAUAAACGUGUCGUUAAUGAAGGGUAAAAAUCACCAUAUCCAUGGACCUUUAAAAGCAUUGUAAUUGCAUAAACUACGUGUAGUUUAUGGGUAUAUAUUCAAACCCCAAAACACUGCCCCAUGUAGCAUAUUGCAGGUAGCCACCGCAAGUCCAGCAGUUAAACAAAACAGAUGGAGGAGGGAUCCAGAUGCUUUGCCAAUCAGAAUGGUACAUUCUACACCAACAAACCAAGACGGCAAGAGUUUAAGAGCACAGCUUUCAAGUUCUCGAAAAAAUCAAAAGUAUGAGGCAAGCCAUGGAAAAUAAGUCAUUCUCAAAGGUAGAAGUGGGGGUGUGUGGACUAUGAGGGGACCCCAACAUUUGGAAGACAAGUUUCCAGCAUUCAUAGAAUGCUUGCAUUUGGCAAUCUUUAGGGGGGAAAAUGUGCCCAUCUUCUUAAAGAUAGAUUAACUUCUGAAACAGCGCGCUGCUCGGGGAACACACCUGCCUCUGAACACUUAAGGAGAAUGUCUGAAUGACUAGGCUGCAGCUGCCUGCCCCUUUUAACAGGGAAAGAAAACAGGUUUGCUUUUCAUCAAAUGAGAUUUAUCAGUAUGUCAGUGAUGGCCACCAUCCCCAUCCCCACCCGCUGCCGCCCAUCCCUGAGCUAAGAGGACCAAAAAAGGAGCUUGUCCUCCUGCAACUGACCUACUUCUGCCUUAGACCCAGAGGAGAAAGCAGCAGCAGCUAAAUAAGCCGGCAUCUUCCAUCCAGAGAGCUGCUGAUUCUGCCUAUUGCCAUACGGGUUUUACAGCACCACCUGGCAUUACUGCUGCCAGGUGAGGAAGAUCGGCUGCAAGACCCAUGCUCCUUACUGCAGUCAAGGAUCCCUGAUGUCCUCCCUGCCCGUGGCUGCCUGGCUUUUGGAGCGAGUCCACCUUACCCGCUGGCUUCUGGAAGCAGUAACACCACUCAUUGUUGGAGAGUUUGCCGUCCUUGAAGGAGUCGCACGAGUUGAAGAGAGGCUUGAUGCAGGGCUCAUAUUUGUCUAGGUAGAUGGCAUUGAUCUCUGAGUGGUCCAGCAACAGGUCAUAGUUCAUGUCCAACUUGUUGAACAUCCAACCCAAGGAGUCCUUGCAAAUGG